RNAcentral lists this transfer RNA (94 nucleotides) under Moelleriella libera RCEF 2490. RNAcentral's name for it is "Aschersonia aleyrodis RCEF 2490 tRNA". It matches the Rfam family "tRNA". From Rfam's summary of the family: Transfer RNA (tRNA) molecules are approximately 80 nucleotides in length. Their secondary structure includes four short double-helical elements and three loops (D, anti-codon, and T loops). Further hydrogen bonds mediate the characteristic L-shaped molecular structure. tRNAs have two regions of fundamental functional importance: the anti-codon, which is responsible for specific mRNA codon recognition, and the 3' end, to which the tRNAs corresponding amino acid is attached (by aminoacyl-tRNA synthetases). tRNAs cope with the degeneracy of the genetic code in two manners: having more than one tRNA (with a specific anti-codon) for a particular amino acid; and 'wobble' base-pairing, i.e. permitting non-standard base-pairing at the 3rd anti-codon position. The record is from Rfam by way of RNAcentral. Lineage: Eukaryota; Fungi; Ascomycota; Sordariomycetes; Hypocreales; Clavicipitaceae.
GCGAGUCUGGCCGAGUGGUUAAGGCGUUGUGUUUAGGUUUCCGCUUAAUCCGCAAUGGGCAUCGCCCGCGUAGGUUCGAUCCCUACGGCUCGCA